Molecule: transfer RNA, 74 nt
Organism: Paracoccus denitrificans PD1222
Lineage: Bacteria; Pseudomonadati; Pseudomonadota; Alphaproteobacteria; Rhodobacterales; Paracoccaceae
Rfam family: tRNA
About the family: Transfer RNA (tRNA) molecules are approximately 80 nucleotides in length. Their secondary structure includes four short double-helical elements and three loops (D, anti-codon, and T loops). Further hydrogen bonds mediate the characteristic L-shaped molecular structure. tRNAs have two regions of fundamental functional importance: the anti-codon, which is responsible for specific mRNA codon recognition, and the 3' end, to which the tRNAs corresponding amino acid is attached (by aminoacyl-tRNA synthetases). tRNAs cope with the degeneracy of the genetic code in two manners: having more than one tRNA (with a specific anti-codon) for a particular amino acid; and 'wobble' base-pairing, i.e. permitting non-standard base-pairing at the 3rd anti-codon position.
Source: Rfam
GGCGGAGUAGCUCAGCUGGUUAGAGCAGAGGAAUCAUAAUCCUUGUGUCGGGGGUUCAAAUCCCUCCUCCGCUA